ACAGUUUGUAUUUUGUGUAUCUCUCAGUAACAAACGAUCUUGCUGUGGAUGGAGAGUGUGUUUACAGGUCUGGAUCAGCACUCUGAGGAUGAGAAGCUCCAGCAGCUGUUGAAACUGAAGCUGUGUUAUUUUACCCCCAGAGAAGUGGCCAACCUCUUGGGCUUCUCUCAAAGCUUGUCCUUUCCGGAGCAGAUCACCACCAAGCAGCAGUACAGAGUUCUAGGAAACAGCCUCAAGUUGUGGUGGUGGCCAGACUCCUACAGCUGCUGGUGUCCUAACACUUGGGACUCUCUGAAGGAGGAGAGCAUUUUUCACUGUGGAUUAUAUUACAGAUUACUUUCAGCACAAUGGCUGUGCUUCAACAUGUAGUCUGUUUGUUGGGAAUGUUAACUGGUUAGUUGGCCAAACGUUGGACCACUGAACAGUUACAUGUUUCUAACAGUACACGUCUCUGUGGGCCGAACAUAAACAUGUUUUUGUUUUUUA
Molecule: long non-coding RNA, 486 nt
Organism: Cottoperca gobio
Lineage: Eukaryota; Metazoa; Chordata; Actinopteri; Perciformes; Bovichtidae
Exons: 3
Source: RefSeq, a predicted model, not a curated record